CAAACUGCGAAUACCGGAGAAUGUUAUCACGGGAGACACACGGCGGGUGCUAACGUCCGUCGUGAAGAGGGAAACAACCCAGACCGCCAGCUAAGGUCCCAAAGUCAUGGUUAAGUGGGAAACGAUGUGGGAAGGCCCAGACAGCCAGGAUGUUGGCUUAGAAGCAGCCAUCAUUUAAAGAAAGCGUAAUAGCUCACUGGUCGAGUCGGCCUGCGCGGAAGAUGUAACGGGGCUAAACCAUGCACCGAAGCUGCGGCAGCGACGCUGAUGCGUUGUUGGGUAGGGGAGCGUUCUGUAAGCCUGCGAAGGUGGCCUGUGAGGGUUGCUGGAGGUAUCAGAAGUGCGAAUGCUGACAUAAGUAACGAUAAAGCGGGUGAAAAGCCCGCUCGCCGGAAGACCAAGGGUUCCUGUCCAACGUUAAUCGGGGCAGGGUGAGUCGACCCCUAAGGCGAGGCCGAAAGGCGUAGUCGAUGGGAAACGGGUUAAUAUUCCCGUACUUGGUGUUACUGCGAAGGGGGGACGGAGAAGGCUAUGUUGGCCGGGCGACGGUU
This 551-nucleotide ribosomal RNA is filed under the name Salmonella enterica. RNAcentral describes it as "partial 23S ribosomal RNA". It matches the Rfam family "Bacterial large subunit ribosomal RNA", at positions 950 to 1503 of the family's 2925-position model. Lineage: Bacteria; Pseudomonadati; Pseudomonadota; Gammaproteobacteria; Enterobacterales; Enterobacteriaceae. The record is from RNAcentral.